CCUUUGGUGUCCUGGCCAUUGCGUACCCACCCUACCUAGGAUGUUUCAAAAAGGUCUAGCAAUUCAUCAUCGUUAUAAUGGCUUUAAUUAUUCAGAAUCGCCAAUCAACCGCCGUAUCAGUAUAUUUAGCGGUCAAAGCUAAAUUUAAGAACAAGGAAUGGACACUCUCCGACAAAAAUGUUCUGCCACCCUUGUAUCGGCAGAACUCUCUGGGUUACGCGGCUUAAAUUAAGGUCACCUAAUCCUGAGGAGCUCCAAGGGAAAAGAAGGGACGCCGAAAGGUAUGGGAGAUUUACACACUCGAUUCCUUCAUCCUAAUUAAUUGCGACCCUUUUAUUUUAGCAACCGUCGAUCAAGGGUGAAUCUUUGGAAGGACGCACAAUAGACUUAACAAUAUAAGGUAUUUAAAUUCUUAAAAACUACACAUUAUUUUAAUUGAUUUUUAAAUUCAGCAGGUGGUGGCUGGGCUCAGCCCACCAGAGUAUUGCACCACGAGAACUUGGAGGCGUAUAGGGACUUUGCUGGCCAACCUCGUGGUACCAGCCGCUCGCGAGGAAAACUGGCCACUAAUUUGGGAACACCCCAACACGGAACGGACUCACCGGAGAUCUCUAGCAGGUAGCGAGGAUUUGGUCGUUGAUGGCGUGGUUCUUCAAAAGGUUCCUCCAAACGCACGUUCUCCUCAGGGAACUUCGUAGUUGUGUCCCUCCAAAAAAUGUUAUAAUUUUGUGU
Long non-coding RNA from Drosophila ficusphila, 732 nucleotides. RefSeq lists it as uncharacterized. The record is from RefSeq and is a predicted model, not a curated record. The transcript has 3 exons. Lineage: Eukaryota; Metazoa; Arthropoda; Insecta; Diptera; Drosophilidae.